CUGCAUUCCUUCCAUAUUGUGAAUUACCCGCAGCUCUCACCCGUGUAAAUCUCCCCCAAUGUCCGCAUAGCUGGUGUGCUUGUACCUCCGGCCAUGCAAUCAGGCGUCUGUUCUCUGUCUGCAGCUGUCCUCAUGCAGGCUUAUGCAGGUGUGUAGGCCGGGUUCAUCAGUCUCGGUGUUCCCGGUGAAAUUUUGGCCAUAGUCUGGUAUCAUAUGGGUGCUUGGGUAGUACCCCAUUGUAAUGCAGCAUGUAAUCCGGCCCUGGGGCAAGUUGUGAGCAAGUUUUAUGCCGUUGUUUAGGGCUUAAGUUCGGAGCCACGGUGUUCUGCUGCCAUGCUGCUCG
Molecule: non-coding RNA, 343 nt
Organism: Pelobates cultripes (western spadefoot toad)
Lineage: Eukaryota; Metazoa; Chordata; Amphibia; Anura; Pelobatidae
Source: the annotation of a GenBank genome assembly